UACAUUGGCAUCUGGGAGGGGGGCUCCAUGUGUGGUCACGUGAACUCUGAGAACGAACCUGGCUGAGCACAGUCGACCUUGUCACUGUCAUGACCCAAGGCGUCCUCUGUGACUGGACAUGGGGCGGGGUGCGUUACGUAGAUGACUCGUUAAGCUCUAGUGGCUAACUCAGUGCGUCCAUGAAGGCUGUGCGGAGAUGCGGCCGGCAGAAGGCAAACAUAGAUGACGCUGUGGAUAUCGGUGUAAAUACGGGUAUGGCCAGUUGGUCAAUACAGAAGGGUUUGUUUGAAGGCCUUCGCUCACACGAUUGUGGCUGCUGGCAAAUCCAAAAUCUAUAAGGCAGGCUGGCGGCUGGAGCCUCAGGCAGGAUUUCUACGAGGCAGAAUUUCUCCUCCUUCAGGAAACCUGCUUUCCCUCGGAAGGCCUUCUGUGGGCUGCGUGAUGUGCUCCCACAUGCUCAGGGGCAAGCUCCUUUAUUGGCUGUAGGCAUCGGCCACAUCCCCAAAACACCUGCCCAGCAACCCUGAGAUGAGUGCUUGGGUUCGUCUCCAGGUACGCUAAGCUUGGCCCACAUAAAACUGACUGCCACACACUGACGUUCUCAGGUGAGAGAUGGGAGACUCAGAGAGGCCACCUCCUUUGCCAGGGUUGUAGAGCAAUGCAAGGGCUUGAGUGGUCAGGUCUUUGGGUCUCAUUGCCUGUGGUUCUAAACUAGCAGAGUGUGGAACGCCUCGGCUUCUACUGACCCUGUGGCCCCGGCAGGGCCUCCACCAUCAGGACCACCGAGCACGCCCUCCUGCCAGGAACGACGUCCUCCUUCCUGAGAAGUUUCUCGUGGGUGGGAGGGAUGGGAACGGGACUCUUGACACCUCCUUGGUGCCCCAGGCCCCCCCUCGCAUGGCAGACCACCCAGAAGGUUCUUCCGGCCCCUUUUCCAAAGCGCUCCUGCCUCACUUAACCCAGCCCAGGUGAACUGAUGACUGUGGGAAGAGAUGUUUCCAGCAGCACACUGUCUUGUAAUCCAAGGGGCCCUGGAAAAAGGGGGCUCGCAGCGGCACUGUGGUCUCAGAGUCCAUGAGAGAGGAAACACAUCUGUCCCUGUAUUUUCCGUAGACACCCCCCUCGCCUCCCCCACGUCCCCACAGGCUGUCAUAUUGUUUCCAGUUGUGUUUAUGGUAAACUCAGGCCAUAACACGCCUCUGUCGUUGUAAAAGAUGGAAAGAGUCUUAGGAGAGAAAUUUUCAUCCCAGGCCUUUCAAGCGGCAUUUUCCCGGUGGUAGAGGUGAAUGGGAAACAUGAAGCAGCUGCCUGCAGGAACGUUUUUCCCUCUGUGGCAAGGAUAAAAAGUGAAAAGCGUUUGCUGAAGAUGGAAAGAGACACUGUGCAAACCAAUAUGCACAGCUCCUGAGGCCUGUGCUGGGGGCCGUGGCAUGCUGACGUCUCUCCAAAUAUGCAAGUCAGAGAAGGGCUGACUCACAGGUCACGGAUUGCAAAAAAUAUGGCGCAAGCCUGACUUCGAACUUUCAAAGGGACAAGGACGUGCACCCCACAGCCACAGCCCCAGACCAGGGUGUAGGCCGUGGGGCUCCAGCUCCCUUCUGGGCAUCACUGCUGUGUGUCCUUGGGAGAGUGUCUCCACCUCUCUGGCACCUCCCUUCACUCUGGAAACCUGUCCAUCAGGCCAGGGGACUGGGGUGGCGUGCGGCCUACCUCCUCCACCUUCCGAGCCCAACCCCAAAACUGGAUAAGCAGCCAGCUUGCACUCUGAACCCAGAACUGAAACGAGGAUUAAGCUUUGCUUUGUGUGUGCCACAAACCAGACACCACAUCCAACCUCCGGCUCUAGGGCCAGGAACUCCAAUCACCAAGCAUUUUUGGAAAACCAAAUCAAAGCUAGAUGGCUUUUCUAACAUGUUAUAUUGUAUUAAAGAUUGAAAAUGACAUUGAGAAGUAAAAAUAAAUUGGAAAUAACUGGAAAAAUCUAAAUGUCCAGUAACAUUGGGGGAUUCAUUAAAAAUUCUGACCCAAUGGAACGUCGACGAGCCACCACAAUGACCUUUUUAAAGAAUGU
RNAcentral lists this long non-coding RNA (2071 nucleotides) under Pan troglodytes (chimpanzee). RNAcentral's name for it is "lincRNA". Lineage: Eukaryota; Metazoa; Chordata; Mammalia; Primates; Hominidae. The record is from RNAcentral.